UAUAAGGGAUUUUGAGUUUUUGCUUGCAUUAUUUGACCACUCGUCUUAUUUAAAAAAUUUUGGAAUUAUUAUUUUUUUUGACUUACUUUAUUAUCCAAAGUACUUUAAGCACAACUUUUCAUUUUUUAUAUUUGCACAAAUUUUUUUAAUAAGACGAGUGGUCAAACAAUACAGACAAAAACUUAAAAUCCCUUAUA
RNAcentral lists this microRNA precursor (197 nucleotides) under Oryza sativa Japonica Group (Japanese rice). RNAcentral describes it as "MIR812 microRNA precursor family". It matches the Rfam family "MIR812 microRNA precursor family". Lineage: Eukaryota; Viridiplantae; Streptophyta; Magnoliopsida; Poales; Poaceae. The record is from Rfam by way of RNAcentral.